This 420-nucleotide ribosomal RNA is filed under the name uncultured bacterium. RNAcentral's name for it is "partial 16S ribosomal RNA". It matches the Rfam family "Bacterial small subunit ribosomal RNA", at positions 360 to 773 of the family's 1533-position model. The record is from RNAcentral.
AAUAUUGCGCAAUGUGGUAAACCCUUACGCAGCUACCUCGUGUGUGCUACGAAGGCCUUCGGGUCGUAAAGCUCUUUCAAGAGGGACGUAUUCUAAUAAGUAAAUAGCUUAUUAGUUAACGGUACUAAUAAAGGAAGCCCCGCUUAACUACUUGCCAUCAGCCGCGGUAAUACGUAGGGGGCGAGCGUUGUCCGGAAUUACUGGGCGUAAAGGGCGUGUAGGCGGCUAAAUAAGUCAGGUGUGAAAACUGUGGGCUCAACCCAGAGAUUGCACCUGAAACUGUCUAGCUUGAGGGUAGGAGAGGAAAGUGGAAUUCCUAGUGUAGCGGUGAAAUGCGUAGAUAUUAGGAGGAACACCAGUGGCGAAGGCGACUUUCUGGCCUAACCCUGACGCUGAGGCGCGAAAGCGUGGGGAGCAAAC